Portunus trituberculatus (swimming crab) is the source of this 415-nucleotide long non-coding RNA. RefSeq lists it as uncharacterized. NCBI's taxonomy places the organism in Eukaryota, Metazoa, Arthropoda, Malacostraca, Decapoda, Portunidae. The transcript has 3 exons. The record is from RefSeq and is a predicted model, not a curated record.
AACAAGAACUAGAAGAAGAACAAGAAGAAAAAGAACAAGAAGAAAAGAAAAGAAAGAGAGUGGAAAGCAAUAAAAAGGGGAAUGAAAAGGAAAAGGAAAGGGUAGCGAAACAAGAGACAAAGACAACUGCUGAUGACGAUGGAGACAAGAGAAAAGGGGAAAGAAAAGAAAUAAACAAAACAAGAUGUGAUAAUGAAAAGGAACAUUACUACACAACGUCCACACAGGAUGGAGACACGAUGCAGUGGAUUCUCUAUGUUGUGGAAAUCGUGUCGGGGUUGCUCUUCAUCCUUUGUAUCAUCUGCCUACUGCGCAGAAGGAUUAAUUAUGGCUGAAAAUAGAAUCAGCAGAACCAACAGCAACAACAACAACUACAACAACAACGACAAUGACGCUAUCACAUCUGCUAACGCCU